Molecule: small RNA, 1010 nt
Filed under: uncultured Antarctic cyanobacterium
Lineage: Bacteria; Bacillati; Cyanobacteriota
Description: bacterial SSU rRNA
Rfam family: Bacterial small subunit ribosomal RNA (bases 1-493)
Source: RNAcentral
GGUGCAUGGCUGUCGUCAGCUCGUGUCGUGAGAUGUUGGGUUAAGUCCCGCAACGAGCGCAACCCUCGUUUUUAGUUGCCAUCAUUAAGUUGGGCACUCUAGAGAGACUGCCGGUGACAAACCGGAGGAAGGUGGGGAUGACGUCAAGUCAGCAUGCCCCUUACGUUCUGGGCUACACACGUACUACAAUGCUACGGACAAAGGGUAGCAAGCAUGCGAAUGCAAGCCAAUCCCAUAAACCGUGGCUCAGUUCAGAUUGCAGGCUGCAACUCGCCUGCAUGAAGGCGGAAUCGCUAGUAAUCGCAGGUCAGCACUACUGCGGUGAAUACGUUCCCGGGCCUUGUACACACCGCCCGUCACACCAUGGAAGCUGGCUUAGCCCGAAGUCGUUACCCUAACCGAAAGGAGGGGGAUGCCGAAGGCAGGGCUGGUGACUGGGGUGAAGUCGUAACAAGGUAGCCGUACCGGAAGGUGUGGCUGGAUCACCUCCUUUAAGGGAGACCAAGCCCAUUAAUUACCGAAAAUACCAAUUAAGUAUUAAUGAGGUCAACCUAGGUCGUGGCGAAGAGUGCGAGGCUUUUCAAUUAUAAUUAAGGUUUGGGGGCUAUUAGCUCAGGUGGUUAGAGCGCACCCCUGAUAAGGGUGAGGUCCCUGGUUCGAGUCCAGGAUAGCCCACCUAGAGAAAGCAGCUAGCAUCAAUGUCAAAUGUUAGUUGCGAAGUUCUUCGGGGACUUAACUUAGCUGGUAGAACAACUGCUUUGUAAGCAGAAUGUCAACAGUUCGAGUCUACUAAUCUCCACCAAAAGAAAACUAGCCAAAAAUAGACCUAGCACCAUGACCACUAAAAGUAGUCAGAAUGCUGAGUUAUUACUCAGUCAGAACCUUGAAAACUGCAUAGAGAAAGCAAAUAGCAGGCAGAUCCAAUAGGGUAAAACCUAAAGUAUCUGACGAAAAAAACUGGUCAAGCUACAAAGGGCUAAUGGUGGAUACCUWGGCACACAGAGGCGADG